Molecule: ribosomal RNA, 459 nt
Filed under: uncultured bacterium
Lineage: Bacteria
Description: partial 16S ribosomal RNA
Rfam family: Bacterial small subunit ribosomal RNA
Source: RNAcentral
CCUACGGGGGGCAGCAGUGAGGAAUAUUGGUCAAUGGCCGAGAGGCUCAACCAGCCAAGUCGCGUGAGGGAAGAAUGUCCUAUGGAUUGUAAACCUCUUUUGUCAGGGAGCAAAGUCACCCACGUGUGGGUGUUGGAGCGUACCUGUAGAAAAAGCAUCGGCUAACUCCGUGCCAGCAGCCGCGGUAAUACGGAGGAUGCGAGCGUUAUCCGGAUUUAUUGGGUUUAGAGGGUGCGUAGGCGGGUUAUCAAGUCAGCGGUAAAAUCGUGGAGCUCAACUCCAUCCAGCCGUUGAAACUGAUGAUCGUGAGUGGGCGAGAAGUAUGCGGAAUGCGUGGUGUAGCGGUGAAAUGCAUAGAUAUCACGCAGAACUCCGAUUGCGAAGGCAGCAUACCGGCGCCCGACUGACGCUGAAGCACGAAAGCGUGGGUAUCGAACAGGAUUAGAUACCCCUGUAGUC